GUCUUUUUGAUAAUAAUUUAAAGUCUGACCUGCCCAAUGAGUAUUUAAAUGGCCGCGGUAAUUUGACCGUGCAAAGGUAGCAUAAUCAUUAGUUUUUUAAUUGAAAGCUGGAAUGAAUGGUUGGACGAGAAAAUAGCUGUCUCAAUUUAAUUGUUAGUAGAAUUUUAUUUAUAAGUUAAAAAGCUUAUAUGAUUUUAAAAGACGAGAAGACCCUAUAGAAUUUUAUAUUUUUAUGAAUAAUUAUUUUUUAGUAUUAAUAAAUAUAUAUUUAUAAAAGUAUUUUGUUGGGGUGAUGGAAAAAUUUAAAUAACUUUUUUUAAAAUAAAUCAUAAAUUAAUGAUUAAUUGAUCCGUUUAUUACGAUUAUAAGAUUAAAUUACCUUAGGGAUAACAGCGUAAUUUUUUUUUAGAGUUCUUAUCGAAAAAAGAGUUUGCGACCUCGAUGUUGGAUUAAAAUUAACUUUUGGUGUAGGGGCUAAAAAGUUAGGUCUGUUCGACCUUUAAAAUUUUACAUGAUCUGAGU
Molecule: ribosomal RNA, 522 nt
Filed under: Cyclocephala gravis
Lineage: Eukaryota; Metazoa; Arthropoda; Insecta; Coleoptera; Scarabaeidae
Description: partial 16S ribosomal RNA
Rfam family: Bacterial large subunit ribosomal RNA
Source: RNAcentral